Molecule: ribosomal RNA, 253 nt
Filed under: uncultured bacterium
Lineage: Bacteria
Description: partial 16S ribosomal RNA
Rfam family: Bacterial small subunit ribosomal RNA
Source: RNAcentral
UACGGAGGGGGCUAGCGUUGUUCGGAAUUACUGGGCGUAAAGCGCACGUAGGCGGAUCAGUCAGUUAGGUGUGAAAUCCCGGGGCUCAACCCCGGAACUGCCUUUAAUACUGCUGGUCUGGAGGGCGAGAGAGGUGAGUGGAAUUCCGGGUGUAGAGGUGAAAUUCGUAGAUAUUCGGAGGAACACCAGCGGCGAAGGCGGCUCACUGGCUCGAUACUGACGCUGAGGUGCGAAAGCGUGGGGAGCAAACAGG